GGGGGGCCUGGGUUCGUUUGGGGGCCACGAGGGACGAAGUUUGUCCGGUUGGGGCCUUCCGCGCUUUUCUGGAGGUGCGCCCGGAGCGGGGAGGCCCUUUGUUAGCUCACGUGGACGGGUCUCCUCUAACCCAGUAUCAGUUCUCGGCGAUGCUGAAGAGAGCAUUGGUUGCGAGUGGCAUUGAUGGUCACGGGUUUUCGGCCCAUUCCUUUC
This is a non-coding RNA of Pelobates cultripes (western spadefoot toad), 213 nucleotides long. NCBI's taxonomy places the organism in Eukaryota, Metazoa, Chordata, Amphibia, Anura, Pelobatidae. The record is from the annotation of a GenBank genome assembly.